RNAcentral lists this non-coding RNA (26 nucleotides) under Homo sapiens (human). The record is from RNAcentral. Lineage: Eukaryota; Metazoa; Chordata; Mammalia; Primates; Hominidae.
UGCAAAAGUUGUUCCUGUGAAAGCCA